AAAAAAAAAGAAAUUUUCUAGCUCUUAAAAAAGAAUCCUAACAGAAAAUUUUCCAAAGCGCCUUUGCUUAUCUAUUGAAUAAGCUAAAGAAAUAUUUUUCUUCUUCUUCAUCAUCAUCAUCCUAAAGUAAAAUCCAGAAGACAAUUCUAAAAAGCCAGAGAGGAAAAAACAAACUAAUCCAUGGCCAGAGGAACCUUAUGCUGUGUCAAUGGUGAUGAUAGUAGCAGAAUUGGAGAAUGGGGCAGCCAAGGAGACAUGAACCUAUACAAAAGAAAAUUUUCUUCUACAAUUGAUCAACCGAUGAAGAUUAACAGUAUUUCUUCAGAUGUAUUUUUCGGCACUGAUGAUAUGAGUGAUAUGAAAGAAAUUAAGCAUAAGGAAGAAAUAUUGGAGUCUUAUAGAAGGGAAAGAGCAAUGAAGAAUGUGAGAAGAAAGAAGAGUUGGUCUGCAAUCAAAAACUGUUUCGAGUUUCUGAAGAGUAUAGGCAGAUUUAAAUGCUUUAGCUAAAUUGUACUCGGUAGUCUCUGUCAGCUGCAGAGAAAUAUAUGAAAUCAUUGAUUUAAGUUCAUUAACAAUUGUUGUUAGUGUAUUUCAUCUGCUAUGAUUGUUAAGUUUCGAAAA
Non-coding RNA from Jatropha curcas, 621 nucleotides. Lineage: Eukaryota; Viridiplantae; Streptophyta; Magnoliopsida; Malpighiales; Euphorbiaceae. The record is from RefSeq and is a predicted model, not a curated record.